This 500-nucleotide ribosomal RNA is filed under the name Psychrobacter celer. RNAcentral's name for it is "bacterial SSU rRNA". It matches the Rfam family "Bacterial small subunit ribosomal RNA", at positions 561 to 1060 of the family's 1533-position model. Lineage: Bacteria; Pseudomonadati; Pseudomonadota; Gammaproteobacteria; Moraxellales; Moraxellaceae. The record is from RNAcentral.
UAAAGCGAGCGUAGGUGGCUUGAUAAGUCAGAUGUGAAAUCCCCGGGCUUAACCUGGGAACUGCAUCUGAUACUGUUAAGCUAGAGUAGGUGAGAGGGAAGUAGAAUUCCAGGUGUAGCGGUGAAAUGCGUAGAGAUCUGGAGGAAUACCGAUGGCGAAGGCAGCUUCCUGGCAUCAUACUGACACUGAGGCUCGAAAGCGUGGGUAGCAAACAGGAUUAGAUACCCUGGUAGUCCACGCCGUAAACGAUGUUUACUAGUCGUUGGGUCCCUUGAGGACUUAGUGACGCAGCUAACGCAAUAAGUAGACCGCUUGGGGAGUACGGCCGCAAGGUUAAAACUCAAAUGAAUUGACGGGGGCCCGCACAAGCGGUGGAGCAUGUGGUUUAAUUCGAUGCAACGCGAAGAACCUUACCUGGUCUUGACAUACACAGAAUCUUGUAGAGAUACGAGAGUGCCUUCGGGAAUUGUGAUACAGGUGCUGCAUGGCUGUCGUCAGCU